Molecule: ribosomal RNA, 641 nt
Filed under: Glutamicibacter arilaitensis
Lineage: Bacteria; Bacillati; Actinomycetota; Actinomycetes; Micrococcales; Micrococcaceae
Description: bacterial SSU rRNA
Rfam family: Bacterial small subunit ribosomal RNA
Source: RNAcentral
GGGUGGAUUAGUGGCGAACGGGUGAGUAACACGUGAGUAACCUGCCCCCGACUUUGGGAUAAGCCCGGGAAACUGGGUCUAAUACCGGAUAUGACUUCCUGCCGCAUGGUGGGUUGUUGAAAGAUUUAUCGGUGGGGGAUGGACUCGCGGCCUAUCAGCUUGUUGGUGAGGUAAUGGCUCACCAAGGCGACGACGGGUAGCCGGCCUGAGAGGGUGACCGGCCACACUGGGACUGAGACACGGCCCAGACUCCUACGGGAGGCAGCAGUGGGGAAUAUUGCACAAUGGGCGGAAGCCUGAUGCAGCGACGCCGCGUGAGGGAUGACGGCCUUCGGGUUGUAAACCUCUUUCAGUAGGGAAGAAGCGAAAGUGACGGUACCUGCAGAAGAAGCGCCGGCUAACUACGUGCCAGCAGCCGCGGUAAUACGUAGGGCGCAAGCGUUAUCCGGAUUUAUUGGGCGUAAAGAGCUCGUAGGCGGUUUGUCGCGUCUGCCGUGAAAGUCCGAGGCUCAACCUCGGAUCUGCGGUGGGUACGGGCAGACUAGAGUGAUGUAGGGGAGACUGGAAUUCCUGGUGUAGCGGUGAAAUGCGCAGAUAUCAGGAGGAACACCGAUGGCGAAGGCAGGUCUCUGGGCAUUUAC